ACAACAACAACAAGAAAGUAUGUUUUGAAGUUGGAUUCUCUUGUGCUGUGCAGCCUCCUCCUCUGGACUUAAAAAUGGCCAUACUGGUAUCAGCCAUCGGUCUGCGAAGGGCUAAAGGUCCGGGGCACCUGCUGAGUGUGGCUGUACACCAAGUCCUCUCUCAACUCGCUCUUAGGACAAAUGCUGGUGCUUCUCAGGCUGGAUCUGACUGGCUUCUGGCUUUCACAGAACCGGAAUAAGCCGGAAUGAGCCGGAAUGGCCUCUAGAGAUGCUCUGAGGUCGGCAGGCCAGACCAUUCCUCCUGGAGCCUCUGCUUCACCGAAUUCUGAUGGAUCCCUGCCCACUCUGCUUGGCCUGUGCCCCUCCUGGCACCAUCUGCCUGAGCCUGGGCUGGCGCUCUGUCAGCCUUUGCAACACAGCUAUGAGACUUGGAAAGCUGGAGUUUGGUUUAGCAGAGAAAUGCAUUUGAAAUCUUCCCUCUAGGCCCCCCUCUUUCUGUUCCCCCUCCUCACCUCCCUCCAGGACCAAUUUAUCUGCCAGUCCAGCCUCCAAGAGGAGCUGGGGCCAAGUUGGAGACCUGCUUAUGCUUGUCAGCCUCUGUGGCCAGAUGACAAGAGAGCAGCCCACAGCUGGGAGAGGACUGGGAAGUCCCCGUGUGCAGAGCGUGCUUAACAGGGGGGCGGGCAGGUCAGAAGCUUCCCCCUGGCUGCAAAGGAGGUGUGGAGGACAGCUCCCUGGAGUUCCAUUCUUGGCCUCUUUGCACCUGCGCACAGUCCCUGGUGGUGCUGCACCCUCACAAGGGCUCCACGCCUAUUUCUAGCUCCUGCCUUCUCUGCAGAGUUCCAGGCCUGUGUUUGGCUCUAUCUACUUGGAAGACUCACAGGUUCUUCAAAACCAACCAACGUGAAGCCAGUUUGUCCUGACUUUUACCCCAAACCUGAUGACUGCUUCAUCCCCUGUCUUGAGAAGUCUCCACUGCCCACCCAUUGUCUAAACCAGCAUUAAAGUGGAGAUGACAGAGUCCCUCCUGGAGAGCCGGUCUAGCCAUUCAGUGAGUCAGCAGCACAGCUCCUCCAGCACGCAGAGAACAGCGGUCCAUGGAGGGAGGGCGUGAGCCUGGGGUUUUACUGAGGAAGGAUAGUGGGUUUUUCAGUCCCUGAAGCUGCUGCUCUGCCCACUCAGGAAGGUGAGGAAGGCAGACGACAGCGUACAUCCAGCCUCUGCUCUGCCAGGGUCGUUGAUGCCCUUUGGAAUGGAGAGCUGUGAAGGGGAAUGCCUAGGCCUCACAGAGGAGGCUCGUGACCCGGACAGGUGUGGGACUAGGGGCCAUGUCUGUAGCUCCCCUGCCACGGAGCAGAAUCUGCCUCUCCAUAAGCGUUAAGCUCUGGGGACUGUGACAUCCACGCUGGGCCUGGCUCCUGCCUUCCGCCUCCUGCCCAGCCCCUGCCAGCAGCACAUGGUGGAGACCGGUUGCCCAAAGCUCUUGUUCUCAGAUGUGGGCAGAACGGGAAUCUGCCAUGUGCCCGUGGAUUAAAAAAAAGAAACCCAGGCUGCUUUUCUGUCUGUUAGAAGGAGCCUGCACUUCAAGAUAGUGGGGAUGUAUAUUUUAAAAAAUUUCACGCUCAUGGGCCAAAGAUUUUCCCGGGGCUGUGUGCUGAUUUGCAGCCUAUCAUGUGUGGCUUUGGGACACUGGGGAAGGUGUGGAGCAGUUUAAGUGACAAACGGGUUGGAAAAGCAAAGGACACCAGGUGAGGAUGAUGGAAUUUACAUCCUGUUGCUUCCCUGAUAGUUCCUGCCAAUAUGGGAUCCCACUACUAUCUUUCUGCCCUAAAAAUAUGUGUAUAUUGAGAUAGAAACUGUUGUAAUGGCUGCAUGCAUUCAGUAGAGGAAAGGAGAGAAGAAAGAAGGAACAGAUUUAGUCCUGCCCAGAAUCUGCACUUCCACGGAGGACGCCAGGAUAUCACGGGAGAGACUGCAGCUCUGAUCAAAUGGGGCGAGCUCUUGGCAGGAGCCAGCAUGUUCCUGUGUUCCAUUUGGGAGGACAGUUUACUUUAAUGAUGUACUUUGAAAUCAGGUGGACGUCUGUAACUCCUGGACCUUUCGCAGCCUUUCCAGCCACGGUCAUCUCUGUGGAGUCAGGGGCAGGGACUUUGGGAUCAGCUUCUGCCCUUGUGAAAACAGCAGAGCAGCCUGAGAGCCAGGAAGGACCUCACCUGAGUAUCAGAUCACCUCAUCAGGCUGAAUUGUGUGGAUCUAGGGAUUUUAAAGAGGUGAUUAAGGUAAAAUGAGGUUAUUAGGGUGGCCCUUGACCCAGUGUGACUGGUAUCCUCAUAAGAGGAGAUUAGGACACAGCCACACAGAGGGACGACCACCUGAGGAUCCCUGAGAAGAUGGCAUCUGGAAGGUGAGGAGAGAGGCCUCAGAAGGAAUCAACUCUGCUGAUACUUGAUGCCAACUUCCAGCCUCUGAAACUGCGAGCAAGGUGGUUUGUUAUUCAGCAAUGGAUAAUUAGAGCACUGACUCACCUUGAUGGGCCUCAUCAUCAUUCAUCCAGAAAUCUUUUAUUGAGAAAAAUAAUAUUUGCCAUGUUGUGCAAGGAGUUGGGGUUGCAAAGCUGGGUGCUGUGAUCUAUAACACAAGGCAGCAGGAUUGUCUGACCUCCGAGAGCCAUGUGCCCUGGGAUCAUCUGGCCACAGUUAUCUCACAGAAUUCCUAAUGCACAGUCUGUGUGGGAGGUGAUGCCGGAGUCCCCCCUCCCUCUGGGCUCCUCCCCGUGCUCUGCUCACAUCACUGGGGGGUUGGCGGCAGCCUGCUGAGUCCUUUCGACCCUCAGCCCGCUCUCCAGCACUCAGACUGGCCGAAACCUGUGCCGCUGGCUCCACCCUCAGGUCUCCCCACUCCUCUCAUUAGCCACCGGCCUUCUCAGCCUUCUCUUAUUCUUGUGACUCUUGCCUGACCCUGCCUCAGCUCUGUGUCCUCCCAGACUGCUGACUGUGAGGCUUUGCCCAGCGGAUUUUCCAUCGCCAAAUUAGAGCUUUUCUUUCCUCGCCUGACUGCUCCCUGUCACUGUCUUCUGUAUCUUCCUGUUCCUGAUUUUGGCUGGCUAUCAAGAGAAGAAGAUCUACAAUCAUCCUAUCUCUCAUGGCACCUUACCAUGUGCAACUCCCUCGUAUCUAAUACCUCACUUCACCUUUUCUGUUCUUCUAUUUAUGAGCUACGUGAUGUCAGACAAGGCACUUAACUACUCUGGGCUUUGGCUCCCUUAUUUAACGAUAGGUAUCAUAAUAAUACCUGUCCUGUCCAAUUUACAGUUUGUCUGACAGUUAUUCAUUUAACAAACAUGCAUUGGGUUCCUACUGAGUGCUGGGUGAUGUAUCCAGCAUUGCUAAGACAACGGCCGUGAGAACAGCAAGCAUGCCUGGGUUUUGCAUUCUAGUGGGACGUCUUAAUCUAUUUUCUGCUAAAACAUAAUACCACAAACUAGGCAGUUGAUGAAGAAGAUACAUUUACUUCUUGCAGUUGAAGAGGCUGGGAAGUCCAAGGGCAUGGCACUGGCAUCUGGGUCAUCCCAUGGUGGAAGGUGGAAGGUGGAAGGGCAGGGACUAAGAAGAGCACCAGGUGCCAGACUCACUUUGUAACAACCCACUGUCAUAAUAACUAACCUGACCUCACAACCCAGUCACCUCCCAACAAAGUUGCAUUGGGAUUGAAUUUAUAACACAAGAACUUUUGGGGGGCAAAUUCAAGCCAGGCAUGGGGGUUAGUGUAAAUAAAUGAAUAG
This is a long non-coding RNA of Homo sapiens (human), 3781 nucleotides long. NCBI's taxonomy places the organism in Eukaryota, Metazoa, Chordata, Mammalia, Primates, Hominidae. The record is from Ensembl.